UACGAAGGGGGCUAGCGUUGUUCGGAAUCACUGGGCGUAAAGGGCGCGUAGGCGGCUUUGUAAGUCGGGGGGUGAAAGCCCGAGGCUCAACCUCGGAACUGCCUUCGAUACUGCGGGUCUCGAGUCCGGGAGAGGUGAGUGGAAUUCCUAGUGUAGAGGUGAAAUUCGUAGAUAUUUAGGAAGAACACCAGUGGCGAAGGCGGCUCACUGGCCCGGUACUGACGCUGAGGCGCGAAAGCGUGGGGGAGCAAACAGG
RNAcentral lists this ribosomal RNA (256 nucleotides) under uncultured bacterium. Its description in RNAcentral is "partial 16S ribosomal RNA". It matches the Rfam family "Bacterial small subunit ribosomal RNA", at positions 524 to 776 of the family's 1533-position model. The record is from RNAcentral.